UACAGAGGUGGCAAGCGUUGUUCGGAAUUACUGGGCGUAAAGCGCGCGUAGGCGGCUUUGUAAGUCAGAGGUGAAAGCCUGGAGCUCAACUCCAGAACUGCCUUUGAAACUACAUCGCUAGAAUCAUGGAGAGGUUAGUGGAAUUCCGAGUGUAGAGGUGAAAUUCGUAGAUAUUCGGAAGAACACCAGUGGCGAAGGCGACUAACUGGACAUGUAUUGACGCUGAGGUGCGAAAGCGUGGGGAGCAAACAGG
This 253-nucleotide ribosomal RNA is filed under the name uncultured bacterium. Its description in RNAcentral is "partial 16S ribosomal RNA". It matches the Rfam family "Bacterial small subunit ribosomal RNA", at positions 524 to 776 of the family's 1533-position model. The record is from RNAcentral.